Belonocnema kinseyi is the source of this 295-nucleotide long non-coding RNA. RefSeq lists it as uncharacterized. The record is from RefSeq and is a predicted model, not a curated record. NCBI's taxonomy places the organism in Eukaryota, Metazoa, Arthropoda, Insecta, Hymenoptera, Cynipidae. The transcript is spliced from 3 exons.
GAAGGCCUGAAGAAAUACGCGUAGAUUCUACUAAAAAUGGCGAUACACUUAGUCAUAGGACAGACCUUUCGAAACCUCAAUGUCAAUGAUUAGUGUAGUUAUUUAUAGGAGAGAUCCUCCAAAAAAAUGAAAAGAUCAGCAUGCUUCUAGAACGGCCCAAAGAACUUAGUUAGAACUUUAAUUUGUAUGAAAAAAAAAUCUAGGCAAUCUACUGGAAAACGAGAUGAACCUUUACCAAAAGCUUAUUCUAAGCGGCCUAAAAAUGAUAAUUACGACGGUUACGAAAAUGGGGAUA